UACGUAGGUGGCAAGCGUUGUCCGGAAUUAUUGGGCGUAAAGCGCGCGCAGGCGGUCCCUUAAGUCUGAUGUGAAAGCCCACGGCUCAACCGUGGAGGGUCAUUGGAAACUGGGGGACUUGAGUGCAGAAGAGGAAGGUGGAAUUCCAUGUGUAGCGGUGAAAUGCGUAGAGAUGUGGAGGAACACCAGUGGCGAAGGCGACUUUC
Molecule: ribosomal RNA, 206 nt
Filed under: uncultured bacterium
Lineage: Bacteria
Description: partial 16S ribosomal RNA
Rfam family: Bacterial small subunit ribosomal RNA
Source: RNAcentral